This is a long non-coding RNA of Chelonia mydas (Green sea turtle), 653 nucleotides long. RefSeq lists it as uncharacterized. Lineage: Eukaryota; Metazoa; Chordata; Testudines; Cheloniidae. The record is from RefSeq and is a predicted model, not a curated record. The transcript has 2 exons.
GACACCUCCUCAUCAAUUAUUGGGAGUGGACCACAUCCACACUGACCUAAUUGACCUUCAACAUUGGUUCUCCACUUUUAAGAUCUUCAGUUCAGAGAAAGCUGCUCCUGGCUGAGCAUUGUUUCUGUAUGAGAAUCUGAGAAGUAAACAUAACUGACCGAAGGGGAAUUCAAUGGCUAAACACUGCAUUUGAACUGGAGUCUUGGAAACAUUCAACUCUGCUUUCAACAUUCCAUUUUUCUGUGCUCCAAUGAAGAGUAGUUCCAGUGAAGAGUGAAAUACUCCUUCCCUAAGCUAAGAAUGAUGCGUACAUGAGCAGAUGCAGUGUGAAUCAGUGUAUGAAUCUGAGAAUUGAUUUAUUUUGCUGGGAUUUUUAACCCUCUUUUUGAUCUGUCACAAUAGUUUGCUACCAGAAGGAGAAAAAAAACAAACCAAAGGGGCACUGGCAGGAAUAGACACCUCUAGAUUACUGAUUUAUGUUACAAUUGUGUGGUCCAAGGAAAUAUGAUGGAGGUUGUCAUAUCAGCCAGGGAUUCAAAUUCUUUGUUUUACUGGAUCAGCUGGGCUUGGAGUGGUCACUCUAUAUCCAGGAGAGAAUUUUUCCUAAGACUUUUUUUUUUUUUUUUUUUUUUUGCAUAAAGGACAUGGAAAAA